Molecule: ribosomal RNA, 903 nt
Filed under: Escherichia coli
Lineage: Bacteria; Pseudomonadati; Pseudomonadota; Gammaproteobacteria; Enterobacterales; Enterobacteriaceae
Description: partial 23S ribosomal RNA
Rfam family: Bacterial large subunit ribosomal RNA
Source: RNAcentral
CCCCCAGUAGCGGCGAGCGAACGGGGAGCAGCCCAGAGCCUGAAUCAGUGUGUGUGUUAGUGGAAGCGUCUGGAAAGGCGCGCGAUACAGGGUGACAGCCCCGUACACAAAAAUGCACAUGCUGUGAGCUCGAUGAGUAGGGCGGGACACGUGGUAUCCUGUCUGAAUAUGGGGGGACCAUCCUCCAAGGCUAAAUACUCCUGACUGACCGAUAGUGAACCAGUACCGUGAGGGAAAGGCGAAAAGAACCCCGGCGAGGGGAGUGAAAAAGAACCUGAAACCGUGUACGUACAAGCAGUGGGAGCACGCUUAGGCGUGUGACUGCGUACCUUUUGUAUAAUGGGUCAGCGACUUAUAUUCUGUAGCAAGGUUAACCGAAUAGGGGAGCCGAAGGGAAACCGAGUCUUAACUGGGCGUUAAGUUGCAGGGUAUAGACCCGAAACCCGGUGAUCUAGCCAUGGGCAGGUUGAAGGUUGGGUAACACUAACUGGAGGACCGAACCGACUAAUGUUGAAAAAUUAGCGGAUGACUUGUGGCUGGGGGUGAAAGGCCAAUCAAACCGGGAGAUAGCUGGUUCUCCCCGAAAGCUAUUUAGGUAGCGCCUCGUGAAUUCAUCUCCGGGGGUAGAGCACUGUUUCGGCAAGGGGGUCAUCCCGACUUACCAACCCGAUGCAAACUGCGAAUACCGGAGAAUGUUAUCACGGGAGACACACGGCGGGUGCUAACGUCCGUCGUGAAGAGGGAAACAACCCAGACCGCCAGCUAAGGUCCCAAAGUCAUGGUUAAGUGGGAAACGAUGUGGGAAGGCCCAGACAGCCAGGAUGUUGGCUUAGAAGCAGCCAUCAUUUAAAGAAAGCGUAAUAGCUCACUGGUCGAGUCGGCCUGCGCGGAAGAUGUAACGGG